This 465-nucleotide ribosomal RNA is filed under the name uncultured bacterium. RNAcentral's name for it is "partial 16S ribosomal RNA". It matches the Rfam family "Bacterial small subunit ribosomal RNA", at positions 338 to 795 of the family's 1533-position model. The record is from RNAcentral.
CCUACGGGCGGCAGCAGUGGGGAAUAUUGCGCAAUGGGCGAAAGCCUGACGCAGCGACGCCGCGUGAGGGAUGAAGGUCUUCGGAUCGUAAACCUCUGUCAGCAGGGAAGAACGGUCACUGUGCUAAUCAGCAGUGAAUUGACGGUACCUGCAAAGGAAGCACCGGCUAACUCCGUGCCAGCAGCCGCGGUAAUACGGAGGGUGCGAGCGUUAAUCGGAAUUACUGGGCGUAAAGCGCUCGUAGGCGGUAUGUCAAGUCAAGGGUGAAAUCCCCGCGCUCAACGUGGGAACUGCCUUUGAAACUGGCAAACUGGAGUGUGUGAGAGGAUAGUAGAAUUCCAGGUGUAGGAGUGAAAGCCGUAGAUAUCUGGAGGAACAUCAGUGGCGAAGGCGACUAUCUGGCACAUAACUGACGCUGAGGAGCGAAAGCGUGGGUAGCAAACAGGAUUAGAUACCCCAGUAGUC